UACGUAGGGUGCAAGCGUUAAUCGGAAUUACUGGGCGUAAAGCGUGCGCAGGCGGUUCGGAAAGAAGGAUGUGAAAUCCCAGGGCUCAACCUUGGAACUGCAUUCUUAACUACCGGACUAGAGUAUGUCAGAGGGGGGUAGAAUUCCGCGUGUAGCAGUGAAAUGCGUAGAUAUGCGGAGGAAUACCGAUGGCGAAGGCAGCCCCCUGGGAUAAUACUGACGCUCAUGCACGAAAGCGUGGGUAGCAAACAGG
Molecule: ribosomal RNA, 253 nt
Filed under: uncultured bacterium
Lineage: Bacteria
Also listed under: 1 other name
Description: partial 16S ribosomal RNA
Rfam family: Bacterial small subunit ribosomal RNA
Source: RNAcentral